AGAACGAACGCUGGCGGCGUGGAUAAGACAUGCAAGUCGAACGCGAUUUAUCCGGUUAGCAAUAACUGGGUAGAUUGAGUGGCGAAAGGGUGCGUAACACGUGGGAAUUUACCAAGAAGUGGGGAAUAGCUCGGCGAAAGCCGAAUUAAUACCGCAUAUGAUCGCAAGAUCAAAGUCGGGGACCGCAAGGCCUGACGCUUUUUGAGAAGCCCGCGGCCCAUCAGCUAGUUGGUGAGGUAAUGGCUCACCAAGGCUAUGACGGGUAGCUGGUCUGAGAGGACGACCAGCCACACUGGAACUGAGACACGGUCCAGACACCUACGGGUGGCAGCAGUCGAGAAUUUUUUCACAA
RNAcentral lists this ribosomal RNA (352 nucleotides) under uncultured bacterium. RNAcentral describes it as "SSU rRNA". It matches the Rfam family "Bacterial small subunit ribosomal RNA", at positions 26 to 371 of the family's 1533-position model. The record is from RNAcentral.